CUUGGCGGGGCGGCCGCUUCGGAGCCGCAAAGUUUGGCUGUGGCGGCAAAUGGGCUUGGGCGGCUCCUCGGCGGGUGGCGGUGGUGGCCUUAGCGGUUCCUCCUGGCUCUGUUAAUGUCGGGGCCAGGCCCGGGGAGGAUGGCGCCCUAGAGCCCGGCCUUGCUGGGUAGGGGCGGGAGGGGACGGGGUGGGGACCGGCCAUGUCGGAGGUGACCCGGAGUCUGCUGCAGCGCUGGGGCGCCAGUUUUAGGAGAGGCGCCGACUUCGACUCUUGGGGCCAGCUGGUGGAGGCGAUAGACGAGUAUCAGAUGUGAGUGACUAACCGCGGGAGCGGGCCAGACCGGCUGCAGUGGGCCGCCUCCCCCUUGUUUCUGUUGGUGUCUCUCAUCACAGUGUCUGCAGUCAAGGCUUCCCAGGGCGGGGCCCCCUGCACGGGGGACUGAGAUCCCACUGGCCCCGCGAGGCUGCUCUGGAGGAGAAGGGUCCGCUCCCUGGGGUGUCUCGCCCUUCUUUCCCCUCCACCUCCACGAGACCAGUUCCAUUCAACAGGUAGUAGUCCUUAGCUGGGGCGCCGGCUCUCACAGGCUACCUACUUAGCUCCUUUGAGUGUCUCCCGGGGCCCCCAGCUCGGCGGUCAAUUUCCUUUCCUCCGCCUCUCCCAGGUUGCCACCCCCCAAUCUCUCUUUGAAUCUCGAAGGAAUACUUGUGCGUUCUCCGCCCACGUUCCAGGCAUGAGUGGCCUUGCUCUCUGUGUGUGUCUUCCUCCCUCCCAUGUGUAGGAGAGGAGGGAACUGGUUUUGAUAGAGAGGAGUUGGAUACCCCCAGGAAGCAGCGAGGGCCAGGGAUCCUGCCUCUCCUUCUGCCAAAAGAAGGGUCUGCUAUUGCGCUCCUUCUCCACCCCACUUUCUGGUGAGCCGUGUUUUCACAAUUCCACCUCGAUUUCGUUUCGGUUUCUGGGACUGUUAUUUGCUGGACUGUGAGUCCCACCCACCCCCUCGCUCGGUUUCUUUGGGUGGAGUCCGCGCAGGAUGUGAACAGAAGAGAGCAAAAUGUGAAUUAAUAGACCACGCACAGGAGCUGCCCCUCCCUCCUAGGAUCCCUCCUCCUUUUCCUGUGUAUAAUGUAUAGCCUCAGGGUACAUGUGGGUACCAGUUUCCUUUAUCAACCUAAGACUGAUUUUUUUUUUUUUUGCCCUUUCUGCUUUCGCCCAAAAACU
RNAcentral lists this long non-coding RNA (1216 nucleotides) under Marmota monax (woodchuck). The record is from RNAcentral. Lineage: Eukaryota; Metazoa; Chordata; Mammalia; Rodentia; Sciuridae.